GUCCCAGUAGGCGAGCGGUCUAAGCCCCCACCCUUUCACGGUGGUGAUCGCCGGUUCAAAUCCGGCCUGGGACUCCA
Molecule: transfer RNA, 77 nt
Filed under: marine sediment metagenome
Description: tRNA-Glu
Rfam family: tRNA
About the family: Transfer RNA (tRNA) molecules are approximately 80 nucleotides in length. Their secondary structure includes four short double-helical elements and three loops (D, anti-codon, and T loops).
Source: RNAcentral